RNAcentral lists this ribosomal RNA (253 nucleotides) under uncultured bacterium. Its description in RNAcentral is "partial 16S ribosomal RNA". It matches the Rfam family "Bacterial small subunit ribosomal RNA", at positions 524 to 776 of the family's 1533-position model. The record is from RNAcentral.
UACAGAGGUCUCAAGCGUUGUUCGGAUUCAUUGGGCGUAAAGGGUGUGUAGGUGGCGCCGUAAGUCGGGUGUGAAAUUUCGGAGCUUAACUCCGGAACUGCAUUCGAUACUGCGGUGCUUGAGGACUGGAGAGGAGACUGGAAUUCAUGGUGUAGCAGUGAAAUGCGUAGAGAUCAUGAGGAAGACCAGUGGCGAAGGCGGGUCUCUGGACAGUUCCUGACGCUGAGGCACGAAGGUCAGGGGAGCAAACGGG